GCGAAUUUAGUUCAGUGGUAGAACGCUAGCCUUCCAAGCUGGAUGUCGCGGGUUCGAGUCCCGCAAUUCGCU
Molecule: transfer RNA, 72 nt
Filed under: bacterium
Lineage: Bacteria
Description: tRNA-Gly
Rfam family: tRNA
About the family: Transfer RNA (tRNA) molecules are approximately 80 nucleotides in length.
Source: RNAcentral